UGGGAGUUGGCAUCUUCUGAGGGCCUUCAAACCUAUAUAUUCAUUCCCCACAGCUCCCUGUGCUCGAUGUCCACGGAAUGCCCACUGUACCAAUGCCACUUCCUGCCGCUGUGAUCCUGGAUUCACUUCUCUGUCUGGAGAGGUCAUCUUUAGCAACCCCUUGGAGGUCUGCACAGAUAUCAACGAGUGUGGCCCACCUCUAUACGUGUCUUGUGGAAGCUUUGCACAUUGUCACAAUGUUGAGGGGAGUCACUACUGUGAAUGUGCCUCUGGGCAUGAACUCCUUUCAGGGGGCACCAAAUUCCAAAGUGAGAAGGAGAACACUUGUCAAGAAGUCCCCUUCUCCUCAUGGACAUCACCUUCUGGAGUCAGCAGCCAGAGUGUCUCUCAUUUCUUUGACAAAGUCCAGCAAUUAUCCCAAGACUUCAUGCCAGCCUUGGCCAAGAACACCAUCCAGGU
This 459-nucleotide long non-coding RNA is filed under the name Zalophus californianus (California sea lion). Its description in RNAcentral is "lncRNA (ENSZCAG00015000968.1)". Lineage: Eukaryota; Metazoa; Chordata; Mammalia; Carnivora; Otariidae. The record is from RNAcentral.